UGGCGACAGAAGAUGUGAAAUUCUACUUCCUUGGCUCAUACCCAGACACCUCUUCAUGCCCGCUUGCCCUCUCCAGGGACAGUGCCAUGCACUUCCAACUGAGCAGGAUGCCUCUGACUAUCUGACCACCACCCACCGUGCUUGAGCUCCAUGCCUCUUACUCACCAACCUUCCCACGCCCCACACCUGAGCCUGGAAGGCUCACUCCUGGAAUUUGAACUUGGAAGACAGGUGAUAAGGCGCCCAUACUCCCUGUUUAGGUAGCCCAGUGACCUGCUCACCGCCUACCCUAGCACUCCCUCCCCAGAUACCAGCAGAAUCCUGUGGUAGUUUCCAAGGUCAAUACGCUGAGUCCCGGAAGUGCAGAGACUGACCCCAGUUUGAUUGAUGUCUGAAUGAGACCAGUUCACUCAACCGAAUGCCCCUGUCUCGUCAGCCAGGAGCUCACCAAACGGGUCUCUGAGAGGAUUGGGCCAGAGAUGAAAAAGAAAAGAGAAGAGAGACAAAGUGCGGGGACAGGAGGGACUCAGUCUGCUGGUGGCAAAACUGAGA
Molecule: long non-coding RNA, 552 nt
Organism: Hipposideros armiger (great roundleaf bat)
Lineage: Eukaryota; Metazoa; Chordata; Mammalia; Chiroptera; Hipposideridae
Exons: 3
Source: RefSeq, a predicted model, not a curated record